AUUUCAUUUCGGAAAUCUAAAACAAAAAAUGGAUUUUGAAGACAAAAUAGAAAGAAAAGAAACUAUUUUGCAUCGCUCAAAAUUGACAACCAGUCAUACAGAAUUGCAUUAAGCAAUUUUCUCUAUUGGGUUAAGGGCAAGAUAUACAUGGGGAUCUAUAUAAUAGUUAUGAGAAAAUAAAGAGUUAGAAAGUUAGACAAAACAAAAAGGUUUCAAAAUAGAAUCAAUUAGUUUCAAUGAGUUCUUAACUUUUACUAAUUUCACUAAAGAUUUUUAUAUACGUUCUUCUAUA
This 292-nucleotide long non-coding RNA is filed under the name Nicotiana benthamiana. RNAcentral describes it as "long non-coding RNA (NBEN_LNC016966)". The record is from RNAcentral. Lineage: Eukaryota; Viridiplantae; Streptophyta; Magnoliopsida; Solanales; Solanaceae.